Molecule: long non-coding RNA, 200 nt
Filed under: Ananas comosus (pineapple)
Lineage: Eukaryota; Viridiplantae; Streptophyta; Magnoliopsida; Poales; Bromeliaceae
Description: long non-coding RNA (ACOM_LNC024139)
Source: RNAcentral
UUACCUCUUGUGCUAGCUCCAAAGAGAAGAGGAGAGGGAGAGGGAGAUGUCCAAAGCUCCUCUUUGAUCUCCUUCUUCUUUUCCUUCCUUGUCUUCUUCUCCUUCUUCUUCUUCUCCUCCUUCUUCUUCUUCUCUUUCUUUUUUCUUUCUAGAGAGAGAGAGGGAGCAAGAGAGAGAGAGAGAGUGAGAGAGAAAGAGAG